AGGCCAUCUGGAGAAGAAGAGACUAGGCUCUACAGAGAGGAGGGAGAAGGAAGAGGAGAGCUGAGGACAUGUGGUGGUGGUGGAGGGAUUUGGCGGAUGAUGCUGCUGUUGCUGAUGUUGUGGUGGUGGGGAGUGGGGGAAUUUGGGAGGGGGAGGGUUUUGAAGAGAAAGUGAGUCUGGGUUUGUCAGGCCUAUACAUGCCGGAGAUUGUACAAUUUGGUGUUGAAGCAUCUUUCCUCUCUGAACUUAGGAUGAAAGGAUGAACUUGCAGUUGAGAGGGGCAAUGGGUGGUAACCGGGAAACCUGUUAAAAAAGAUUAGAGUGACUUUCUCAUACGUAAAAUUAAAGUUGAGUAAUUUUAUUGUAAUAAAUUGAAGUUGAGGGAUGAAAAUAAAAUAACCUCUAAAGUGGAGAGACGGUGGGUGAAAAUUAGGCUUUUAAAACAGUGUUUAAACUGUACUAUAAGCAAUAGUAAUGCUUUUUAUUGUGGACAACUCUCAUCAGGUGUGUGUAGGAUAAUAAAACCCAGUGCAUUGGGGCAAAAUCAACAUGCAAUAGUGUGAUCAUAUAUGACCUCUGCCAUUUGACGCAUUCAUGUAGUUGAGAAGUAAUUGAUAGUAGCAAUACAAUCACAUUAUCAGAACUUAUUUUUGACCUUACAUUAUUGGGCUUGAAAUUGCACAUCCUAUUUUGGUCCAUGACAUAUGUCAUAGUUAAAUGGGUCUAACAAGGCUGUUGUUUCCUCAGUGUACAGCUCAUGGGAAGUGGGGG
This 771-nucleotide unclassified non-coding RNA is filed under the name Hevea brasiliensis (rubber tree). The record is from RNAcentral. Lineage: Eukaryota; Viridiplantae; Streptophyta; Magnoliopsida; Malpighiales; Euphorbiaceae.